AACUAAACGACGUUGCAGACUUGCAGUCACCAUCUCUUUGCUGCUUCUUCGAUUCAGAAACGAGAUCCCAAUCGCCUCUCACUAUCUCAUCUCUCGCUGACGACGAACCAAAUUGCCUCUCACCGUCACAACGAACGCAAUCGUCUCCCACCCUCUCAAUCUCUCAUCUCGCUGACGGCGAACUCAUCUGGUUCAUCGGGGAAGUAACAGUCAUCACUCACGGUCACAGAUCUUUUCUUUUGGUUCUCAUCGUCUGCAGAUCAUACCAAAGAAAAGAUCCUACGGUCACAACAAGCCAUCACUCACGGUCACAAUCCAGCAAGCAUACCAUUUUGUAAACAGGCUGCAGCAUGGACUCACAAACAAUACAAAGAAUGGCUGUUCUUGAGGCAGAAAACGAAUUGAUGGAUUUGGAGUAUAAUGAAGAUGAAGACUCCCAUGAAGAGGAACAUGAUCAAUGAACCUGCUCAGUCAACACAUACUCAACGUCCAAAGAGAUACACACGAUCUCCACGAUCCCCACGAGCUCCACGAUCUCCACGAUCUCCACGAGCUUCACGAUCUCCACGAGCUCCACAAGCUUCACGAGCUUCACGAUCUUCACUAGCUCCACAAGCUCCAAGAGCUAAACGGCCUACACAGAGAAGCACGGAGUCACGGAAGGGAGAUGGAGGCGCUGAAGAGAAACGAAGGCCCGCUGCAAAGAAGCGGAGGCACAGCAAAUGAGCGGAGGUGCGUCUUUGGUUUCUCAGAUCCAAAAGAAAGUUCGACGACAUCACCAACAAAUAAGAGAGAAAAAACGGCAAGAUGAUCUGUCGCCUCAGACAUGGUAAAAGAGGAAGACGAGAUUCAAAUUUUGAAUAUGUGGUGAAAAGGUGGAUUGGGAAAAAUCCUCUGUAACUCCUUGAGAACAUUGUCUGAGAGCGUUUUACAUUUUUUUUCUUUUUGAUUUUUUUAGACAAAAGAAAUUCUUAACCAAAUCUUUUUAAUAUUUUUUAAAAUCCUUCAAACAACUAUAAUUGUCGUCUAUAAAUUGACCUGAACAUAGCUUACGGACACUAAAGUAAUUUGCUUUGACACAGAGAAAAACAAACCCCCCCACAAUAUUUUUUUUUUGGUAAAAAUCACCCACACAAUAUUUUUGUUUUAGGUAUUUUGCUAAUUUCAAUUUUUUUGAGGAUUUUGACCUAAUUAACUCAAAUAAUAAUCACAAGUCUCCUCAAGAGCUUAUCUAUUCAUCUCCUCCCUUGGUUGGUUCUGUGAUUGAGACAAUUCGAGAGAAAAUAUUUGUUGAUGUGAGGGGAGGAAAGUUCAAAUGGAUAAAGUGAAGAUGAUAUGUUUCUAGGGUUUUCAUGCGAGAAUAACUUGAAAAUGAAGACAACUCCGAAGCUUCUACUUCUUCUUCUUGGGAAUUAGGAUAUCUCAGAACAGCCAUAACACUUUCAGUGAUAAUCAAACAUUGCAAAGAGAGGAAGCGAAAAUAGCAGCUUGGGAAAAUCUGCAUAAGGAAAAUCAACAAGGCCAACAAUCAAGGAUGUGAUUUACAAAUAAAUCUUCAACAAUCUUCGAGAUAAAUAAACUUAUAUUUUCAUGCU
Long non-coding RNA from Brassica napus (rape), 1595 nucleotides. RefSeq lists it as uncharacterized. The record is from RefSeq and is a predicted model, not a curated record. The transcript is spliced from 5 exons. NCBI's taxonomy places the organism in Eukaryota, Viridiplantae, Streptophyta, Magnoliopsida, Brassicales, Brassicaceae.